UUUCCGUAGGUGAACCUGCGGAAGGAUCAUUAUUGUAUAACCGAGGUGCGAGGGCUGUCGCUGACCCGAAAGGUCGUGCACGCUCGAGUGCCCUCACACACAUCCAUCUCACCCCUAUGUGCACCACCGCGUGGGUCCCCCUUUGGCUUGUUCGGAGGGGGGCUUACGUUUUCACACAAACUUUGUAUGCAGUGUAGAAUGUAUUUUUUGUUCUUGCGAUCACGCAAUCAAUACAACUUUCAACAACGGAUCUCUUGGCUCUC
RNAcentral lists this unclassified non-coding RNA (263 nucleotides) under plant metagenome. Its description in RNAcentral is "partial contains small subunit ribosomal RNA, internal transcribed spacer 1, and 5.8S ribosomal RNA". The record is from RNAcentral.